CGGAAGCGCCGCGCACGCAGUUCCGCGGGCGGGGCGGCGCUCGGCGCGGCCGGGAUGGCACCGGAGCUCUGGGGCGCGGCGCUGGUGCCUCGGGACGGCGAUCGCUCACCUUCCUGCCACCCCCGACAGCGGCUGACGCUAACCGGGGACAGAGCCAAGCCUGAAGUGCCUCUGCCGCCUGCUUGGUUCGGUUUAACAGCAGUGUCCUCCUAGUGCCGCUCGGGGUACACCCGGGCAGAUGCAGCGGCACAAACGAGUAUUCCCCGGCAGGGAAUCACAGGAUCAGUUCGGUUGGAAAAGACCGCCAAGAUCAUCCAGUCCAACCUGUGGCCGAACGCCACGAUGUCAAAUAGAUCAUGGCACGGACAUCACUAGCAUCUUCAGGAUCCCACUGAUGUGUAACUGCAGAGACACAAAUCCUCAGCCCCUGCAUGUGCCCCAUGGUGCCAGCACAGGGUUCCCUGCAGUGAGGAGCUGCUCACACAACUUCCAGAAUCUACAAUAAGGCCUCCCUGCUCGUGUCACCGAUGGGAUUCAGUCCAGGAGCAGUCACAGCCUGCAGAUCCGACCUCAUCCCUCAAUUCUUUUUAAUGCCAGUUGUUGAGUUUCUUAAGAGCCCUUCUCUGUCACAACCCACAAUGGUUUAUAAAUAAGCUGUGAAAAGACAUUAAUAAAAAACGUGGUUUACCUUGCCCAUUGCCACAUAAACCAGAUGGUGUGAGUCGUUGGCUGGUACUGUCUGUUUGCUUUUGAUAGCAGCAGUUAAGAUACACCUCUAAGUAGGGCAGGACAGUUUUUUUCUUGGAUACUUCUCAGGUAAAUUUUCUUGUUAGAGGCACCAGCACCUGAAUAAUAUUUUCAAUAAGACAGAUGUGAGAAUCCACAAGCUAAAAAUUCAGAUGCUCAGAAUAACAGUAAUUUAGGAAUUAUUCCUAUUAUAUUAAUAUUAUUAAUAUUAUAUAAUAAUAUUGCUAUUAUCUGCCUCAGACUUUUCAGUUAAAGGACUGGCAAAAGAGAAUAAAAAGCAAGACAAUUACAAAGAAACUUGACACAGAGUAGAUCUUCAAAAAGGCAGUGUAACUGAGCAGACCUGUGAUUAGAAGUGAACAGUGAAAGUACUUGACUUUUAACAGUAUUUUAAUUUAGUGCCAGAAAGGAUACCAUACAGCAAAAUUGUUCUGUGUUUAUUAACGAGUUUGAGAAUAUGCUGACCAUUGAUUCAAAUAUGCUUUCUAAAUGAAGGUCAUAGAUAAAAGUCUGAACUCCGGCAACUUCCGUUGAGGUCUUCAAAGUAAUAAUCACAUUGGUUUAAAUAAUGUAUGUAAAAUAAAGUGAGCAUUGAGGAUCACACUGCUGAUCAUUUUUUUCAAACCUUAGGCUAUCAUUGCAACCACAUGCACUCCCUCCCAGCUCUGCUCCUCAGGAUGGAGAUAGAGAGAUUAGAUAGAUAGAUAGAUAGAUGAUAGAUAGAUAGAUAGAUAGAUAGAUAGAUAGAUAGAUAGAUGCUAUGUUAUGUGUUACAUUAUGUUAUAUGUUAUGUUAUGUGUAGGAUGUUGUGCAGUUUACAGUUUCUCCAGAUGGCCCUUCUGGCAGUUGCAGCAAUGAGCAGAUUUAUCCUGGAACAUGGGCACUAUGUGUAGCCUUCUCCAGUUGUUUAUGACUUUCCUUGACGUGAAUUAGUGGUCAUAUGAAAUCAACCCUGGUUUGAUCUCAAUAGACCUGUAUCACUGACUAUAUAUAAUGACUAUUCUCUUUUUGGUUUUUUUAAUCCUAGUCAGGUUGGUGCACGUGACUGCUUGCUUAAAGGCAUUAAUUUCUGGCAGAAAUAAUCUUAUUUAUAAACAUUUUUCGUACUAUACCUCUUACCUUUUCUUCCUAUAGAAAAAAUUUGCUUCUUGAGUUUUAAUACAUUUGCUUCCAGUUAUUCUCAGCAUCCUUCAUUUUCGAGAUUAUCAUCUCAAAAGACAUUACUUUUUUGUUCACUGACUUUUCUAAAGUCUGCUUUUUUUUCCUUAUUGCAAGUCUUCUGUUCUUUUUUCUUGCAACAAGAUAACUCCAUUACACUUUCAAACAAACUACCUUCACUUUCUGGAUUUUCAACCAGUUCCUCCUUGUUUAAAAACAGAAGUAGCAUUUUGGCAUAUUCUAGUCACUUCCUAUAUUUCCUGAGACAGAAAUUGAUUUCCAUUGUGCUCAGCAAACUUGAUGGGCUGGUGGGGACCUGCCAGUAAAAUGCAGUGCUCUGAAAGAAGAAGCUGAGCUGCAUCAGUGCAGCUCUCUCUGAACUGAGCAGCAGUGCUGUGAUCUCCCACACACAUUCCUUCUGGUCCUGGCUGGCCUGACCAGUUCAUGCUGCCUUCACAAACAUGUGAAGAACAUUUGCUCUCCAGGAUUACUUUUGUCCCUCUCUCGUGAGUGAUUUAUGCAGUACCCCUGAGCUGCUUACUCAAAUGGCAACUGUUGAUCAGAUCUUAAAAUUAAAUAGUUACCAGGGAAUAUUUCCUUGGAAGUGGUAUAUCCAGUAACUUCCUUCAAGGACACUGGAGACAAUUUCAUUGUAAAUGUCUGGUUUUAGCCAAAUUUGUUUGUAUUUUUGGCUGAAUUUUUUUAUUUGGGACUUCCACUGCAGUUUUCAAGCCCUUAAAUACCUCUUUAGAGGGAACAUAUGAGGGCAUCAGUUCUCCUGGCAGUUUUUCCCUUUUACUGAACGUCUUGGUAAAUAUUUGAGAAUCUCUUGGCCCCUGAUCGUGUGUAAUCAGUCUCUGGUCAACCCUGUGCCCAUUUUGACUUGUCUGAAUAAAUCUCUAAGUACUGUUU
Molecule: non-coding RNA, 2817 nt
Organism: Taeniopygia guttata (zebra finch)
Lineage: Eukaryota; Metazoa; Chordata; Aves; Passeriformes; Estrildidae
Source: RefSeq, a predicted model, not a curated record